GAGACCAGCCAGGCGGCCCAACCCUCGCCUUCCGCUUCACCUACGCCCAAGGUGCGGCGCAGAGGCCGGGCUGCGCGGCGCCCGCCCGGGAAGAAGCCGGUGUUGCAGCCGCCUUGCGUUCGGCCCCUGAAGCAGCGAGCCGAGAGGGAGGCAUGUAGCGACGGCCGCAGAGCCAGCUCGGAUUUUCAACUCUUAGGAUUUUUUUUUUUUUUUUUUUUUUUUUUUUUUGGUACUGCGGGCGCGCGGCAACCUUGGAUCAACGCCCCGCUGCUCCGGCCGGCCCACUCUUUCCUUGCAAGCUGCGGCUUCCUCGCGGAAACAUUAAAGGGUCUGAAGAAGGGCGCGGGGCCGAGAGUCAGAGAGUGGGACCCGGGAUCUCCCCGCGCCCAGUGGGGCAACCAUGACCGACGAGAGCUCCGAUGUCCCCCGGGAGUUAAUGGAAAGCAUCAAGGAUGUUAUUGGCAGGAAGAUCAAAAUCUCAGUGAAGAAGAAAGUGAAGUUGGAAGUGAAGGGCGACAGGGUGGAAAACAAAGUGCUGGUGCUCACAUCAUGCCGAGCCUUCCUCCUGUCAGCACGCAUCCCCAGCAAGCUCGAGUUAACCUUCAGUUAUCUAGAGAUUCAUGGAGUCAUCUGCCACAAGCCAGCCCAGAUGGUUGUGGAGACUGAGAAGUGUAACAUGUCCAUGAAGAUGGUGUCCCCAGAGGAUGUGAGUGAAGUGCUGGCUCACAUAGGCACCUGCUUGCGGAGGAUAUUCCCAGGCCUUUCCCCACUGAGAAUCAUGAAGAAAGUCUCCAUGGAGCCAUCUGAACGUCUGGCCAGUCUCCAGGCCCUGUGGGACAGCCAGACCUUGGCUGAGCCAGGCCCCUGUGGUGGGUUUUCUCAGAUGUAUGCCUGUGUGUGCGACUGGCUGGGCUUUUCAUACAAGGAAGAAGUGCAGUGGGAUGUGGAUACAAUUUAUCUGACACAAGACACCAGGGAAUUAAAUUUACAGGACUUCAGUCAUCUCGAGCACAGAGACCUGAUCCCCAUCAUUGCUGCCCUGGAGUAUAACCAGUGGUUCACCAAACUGUCCUCUAAGGAUCUCAAACUGUCCACGGAUGUUUGUGAACAGAUUUUGAGAGUGGUGAGUAGGUCCAAUCGACUGGAAGAGUUGGUGUUGGAAAAUGCUGGACUCAGAAUAGAUUUUGCACAGAAAUUGGCCGGUGCUCUAGCACACAAUCCUAACUCAGGACUUCACACAAUCAACCUUGCUGGGAACUCGCUGGAGGAUCGAGGUGUGUCCUCCUUAAGUAUUCAAUUUGCCAAACUCCCAAAGGGAUUGAAGCAUUUGAACCUCUCUAAAACCUCAUUGUCACCUAAAGGGGUGAACAGCCUUUGUCAGUCCCUCAGUGCCAACCCUCUGACUGCCUCUACCCUCACCCACCUGGACCUCUCAGGGAAUGCCCUCCGCGGAGAUGACCUCUCGCACAUGUACAAUUUUUUGGCCCAGCCCAACACCAUUGUUCAUCUGGAUCUAUCUAAUACAGAAUGUUCUCUGGAGAUGGUGUGUAGCGCUCUCCUCCGGGGUUGCCUUCAGUGUCUCGCUGUGCUCAAUCUCUCCAGAUCUGUCUUCUCUCACAGGAAAGGAAAGGAAGUCCCUCCGUCUUUCAAGCAGUUUUUCAGCAGUUCUCUGGCUUUGAUCCAAAUCAACCUUUCAGGCACGAAGCUGUCUCCCGAGCCCUUGAAAGCGCUGCUCUUGGGCCUGGCCUGCAAUCAUAGCCUGAAGGGAGUCUCUCUGGAUCUCAGCAACUGUGAGCUUGGCCACUGUCUGAGGUCAGGAGGAGCUCAAGUGUUAGAAGGCUGCAUCGCUGAAAUCCACAACAUCACCAGCUUAGAUAUCUCUGACAAUGGUUUAGAAUCCGACCUAUCUACCCUAAUUGUGUGGCUCAGUAAAAACAGAUCAAUACAGCACCUGGCAUUGGGCAAAAAUUUUAAUAAUAUGAAAUCCAAAAAUCUGACGCCUGUGUUGGACAACUUAGUGCAGAUGAUCCAAGAUGAAGACUCUCCUCUGCAGUCGUUGUCCCUGGCUGACUCAAAACUCAAGGCUGAGGUCACCAUCAUCAUCAAUGCCCUGGGCAGCAACACCUCCCUGACCAAAGUGGACAUCAGUGGGAAUGGCAUGGGGGACAUGGGAGCGAAGAUGCUGGCCAAGGCUCUCCAGAUCAACACCAAACUCAGGACAGUCAUCUGGGACAAAAACAACAUCACUGCACAAGGCUUUCAAGACAUAGCUGUUGCUAUGGAAAAGAACUACACACUGCGAUUUAUGCCAAUUCCGAUGUAUGAUGCCGCUCAAGCUCUCAAAACCAACCCCGAGAAAACAGAAGAGGCUCUGCAGAAGAUAGAAAAUUAUCUGCUCCGGAAUCACGAGACCAGGAAAUACCUUCAGGAGCAGGCCUAUCGCCUCCAGCAGGGCAUCGUCACCAGCACCACCCAGCAGAUGAUUGACCGGAUAUGUGUGAAGGUUCAGGAUCACCUCAACUCCUUACGAGCCUGUGGGGGUGAUGCUAUUCAGGAGGAUUUAAAGGCAGCGGAGCGGCUCAUGCGAGAUGCUAAGAACUCUAAAACAUUGUUGCCCAAUUUAUAUCAUGUGGGCGGUGCAUCCUGGGCAGGAGCCAGUGGGCUGUCAUCCAGUCCCAUUCAGGAGACCCUGGAGUCGAUGGCUGGAGAAGUCACAAGAGUGGUGGAUGAACAACUGAAGGAUUUGCUAGAAUCCAUGGUGGACGCAGCCGAGACCCUCUGCCCCAACGUCAUGAGAAAAGCCCACAUCCGACAGGACCUGAUCCAUGCCAGCACCGAAAAGAUUUCCAUCCCACGUACCUUUGUUAAAAAUGUCCUGUUGGAACAGUCCGGGAUUGACAUUCUUAACAAAAUCAGUGAGGUGAAGCUGACAGUGGCCUCGUUCUUGUCUGACCGGAUCGUCGAUGAGAUCCUGGAUUCUCUCUCCAGCAGCCAUCGGAAGCUGGCCAACCAUUUCAGCAGGCUAAACAAGAGCCUUCCCCAGCGAGAGGACCUAGAGGUGGAGCUGGUGGAGGAGAAGCCGGUGAAACGGGCCAUCCUCACGGUAGAGGAUCUCACAGAGGUGGAGAGGCUGGAAGACCUAGACACUUGUAUGACUCUCUGCUGUACAAGUAUGACUCCUAAGUCCAAGAGGAAGAGCAUCCACAGCCGAAUGCUGCGGCCUGUCUCCAGGGCCUUCGAAAUGGAGUUUGAUCUUGAUAAAGCCCUGGAAGAGGUGCCGAUUCACAUCGAAGACCCACCUUUCCCAUCAGUCCGGCAAGAGAAGCGAAGCUCGGGGUUAAUCUCUGAGCUGCCCUCGGAGGAAGGCAGGAGACUGGAACACUUCACCAAGUUAAGGCCCAAGCGGAACAAGAAGCAGCAACCUACGCAAGCAGCGGUCUGUACCAUCAGCAUCUUGCCCCAGGAUGGAGAACAGAAUGGCCUCAUGGGCAGAGUGGAUGAAGGGGUAGAUGAGUUUUUCACCAAGAAGGUGACUAAAAUGGAUUGCAAGAGGUCAUCCUCGCGCUCCUCAGAUGCCCACGAACUCGGGGAAGGAGAUGAGAAGAAAAAACGGGACUCUCGGAGGAGUGGCUUCCUCAACCUGAUUAAAUCCAGGUCCAGAUCUGAGCGGCCACCCACAGUCCUGAUGACGGAAGAGCUCUCCUCCCCGAAAGGGGCAAUGCGGAGCCCACCAGUGGAUACCACCAGGAAGGAGAUAAAGGCAGCGGAGCACAAUGGUGCUCCAGACCGCACAGAAGAGAUUAAGACACCGGAACCCCUGGAGGAGGGUCCAGCAGAGGAAGCUGGCAGGGCUGAGCGCAGUGACAGCAGGGGCAGCCCGCAGGGUGGCCGGCGCUAUGUGCAGGUGAUGGGCAGCGGCCUGCUGGCCGAGAUGAAGGCCAAGCAGGAGCGGAGGGCAGCAUGUGCACAGAAGAAGCUCGGCAAUGAUGUCAUCUCCCAGGAUCCUUCCAGCCCAGUCUCGUGCAACACAGAGCGUUUAGAAGGAGGGGCGACAGUGCCUAAACUGCAACCAGGUCUUCCAGAGGCCCGCUUUGGUUCGGGAACACCAGAAAAGAAUGCCAAAGCUGAACCCAGAGUGGAUGGAGGCUGCAGGUCCCGGAGCUCCUCCAGCAUGCCCACCAGCCCAAAGCCCCUCCUUCAGUCCCCUAAGCCCAGCCCUUCAGCCCGGCCUUCUAUCCCUCAGAAGCCAAGAACUGCCUCCCGACCUGAAGACACCCCAGACUCUCCAUCUGGUCCUAGUUCCCCUAAAGUUGCCCUCCUUCCACCCAUCCUCAAAAAAGUCUCCUCGGACAAGGAGCGUGACGGCCAGAACAGCUCACAGUCCAGUCCUAGGAGCUUCUCCCAGGAAGCGUGCCCAACUAAUUUCUGAAACAGGGUAAACCGGAUCCCUUUUCCUCAGUAGUGCAAAGAGGAGAUUAUUUCAAAAGGCAUUCAGAUCAUGACAGUGGGAAGCCUUCCAGUAGAGGGAAAAGAUCUUCAAAACUCUACUUCGCCAUUGCAGAAGAGGAAGCGAAUGCACCUGGGUACAGGAAGUCACAGCCAACAAAUGCCUCAAGGAGAAGCUGGGGCCCGGCCCAGGAGUAUCAAGAACAGAAGCAACGGUCCUCGGGCAAAGAUGGUCACCAAGGGAGCAAAUGCAGUGACUCUGGAGAAGAGGCAGAAAAAGAGUUUAUUUUUGUGUAAUGGUGCCCACCCCAAGCCUCUCCAUGCAGGGCGCUCUCCUCAGCUCUCAGAGAGGAGCCAGGGCCAGUACCUCUUCUCUCUUCUCUUGGUGCUUUCUUCUUUCUCUCCUUUCUUCUUUCUCAUUUAUAUAUAUUUUCAAAUUUUUGGUCUUCCCCCAUUCUUGGCAUUUGAUUUCUAAACACUGUUUCUUAUGCCUUCAACAAAAAGCCAGCAAUUAUUCCAUGGGCCCUACUUGAAUUUCUCUGAGGCAGCUACACAUUGCCCUGCAUGGUGAGUUGUUUUUGGAAAUUAAUGAAGUAACUGGACUCACACCCAAGUAACAAUCCGGGAGGUCCUGGGGUGCUACAGGGUGUGUUUGUGUCAGAUCCACACAUAACUCGAUAGAGCAAUUUAUUCUUGAUGUAUGCAAUUGCACAUUGUAAUUAUAUUAACAGAGCACACUAAUAAAUAAUUUGUAUAAAUUAUAAAUAUUAGAUCUUGGGCACAGUUCUUACAUUCUUUUGUGGGACAUUUCCUUCCCCAUGUAGAAUUGUACAUUUAAACCUUGGUUGGUAAUAUUUGCAGACCAUCGGCAAGCACAGCUAAAAACAGUGUGAGAAGCUCAGAUUCAUGUAUAUACUUGAUUGGAAUGAGGUCUUAUAAAUAUUCAUGUUUCUGAAGGCCUUUAAUUUCUGUCUGCUUAUUAGUUUUUAAUGUGUGGUUUUUAAAAGAAAAUUUUGGCACCUGUAAAAAAAAUCUAAAUACUACUCUUUAUAAAACAUCUCACAAAUAUUCACUUACAUUACAAGCUGAAAGUAUUUUAUUCAUAUGUAUAUUUAUACCAAUAAAAUAAUUUUACAAGUGGAA
Mus musculus (house mouse) is the source of this 5589-nucleotide RNA transcript. It is a transcript of the gene named capping protein regulator and myosin 1 linker 1, with no coding region annotated. The record is from RefSeq and is marked validated. The transcript has 41 exons. NCBI's taxonomy places the organism in Eukaryota, Metazoa, Chordata, Mammalia, Rodentia, Muridae.